This 4826-nucleotide long non-coding RNA is filed under the name Glycine max (soybean). RNAcentral describes it as "long non-coding RNA (GMAX_LNC003920)". Lineage: Eukaryota; Viridiplantae; Streptophyta; Magnoliopsida; Fabales; Fabaceae. The record is from RNAcentral.
CUUAGAUAGAUAAUACAGUUACAAAUUAAAUGCAGUUGUUGGGAUGUCUAACCCUAAUGUCAUGUUUACUUGCCAAUUUUGCUUAAAAAAAUUAAAUGAAGUGGAUCAUUUUUUAAAUUUUAAUUGUCUCCAUAGAUAUUAGAUAAACAUCAUAGAUUAAACUAAAUUGAGAACAACUAAAUAUAGUUAGUAUUAAAUUAAGAACAACUAAAUUGAGAACAAGCUAAGCAAUGGGCCUAUAGUUAUCUAUAGAAUCUGCAUCUAGAUUUAUAGGAAACAGCACCGCCGUGUUAGAAUUUAAAUUUGGUAGAAUCCACCUAGACUUGAACAAUUGCAGCACUAACUGAUAGACAGUAUCUCCAACUGCAUCCUAGUAGUGCUGGAAGAAAAUCCGUUGCAACCAUCGGUCCCGGGAACACCCUCACCAUUCAUGUCAAACACUAAAGAUUUAACCUCCUCAUUUAAAGGGAUGUUGGAUAAAAAAGCAUCAUCUUCACCUGAUACCAAGCUUGGAAUGGUACGAUAUAUCUACAAAGCUGUUAGGGAUACAAGAGUCGCUGCCCGCAUAAAUAUUGGGAAAGAAAUCCCACACCUCUGCUUCGAACUCCUCUUGAGACUCUAGUAAUCAAUUCCCUUUACGUAGCUAAGAUAGACCCUUAGAUACAAAAUGAUGGAGUGCUAUUUUAUGAAAAAAGAAGUAUUCUGCUCUCCUUGAGCAUGCCCUUAGAUUCUUGACUUUUCUCGCCAUAAGCAUUCCUGAAAACGCAAAACUGUUUGCAGCUCCUUUUGUGCCAGAACUUCUUGAUUAAAUAAUGCAUCCGAGUAUCCCACAUUCACAAUCUGUUGUUGGAUACUGUCCACCUCAUUGGUAGCUUAAAGCACAAGCUGGUGGACAUUCCCAAACACAUUUUUAAUCCAGGUUUUUAAUUAACACUUUUACAUUUUCAGCUUUUGUUGCAAAACAACUAUAGGACAACCUAGGACAUGACACGACCAAACUUCCUCAACAAAUCUUACACAAUCCACAUUUUAAUGAAGAAAAAAUGAGAGGCAUGUAACAUUGAACAAUGCUGAAAAUUCGUCAAUAAAGGAUGGUGAUCCGACUACGUUUGUGACAUAGUAAAGCAUGAAAUGUAUAGGGGAAGCUUGCCCCCUCUCUUCUCGUGCUCUCCCAGUAUGGCAUUAUUGUCACCAAGAAAACACUACGGCCCUGGGUACCUUUGCUGGAGAUCAGUUAAUUGCACCCAGAGUUGGAUUCUCAGAAUGUAGGUGGUACAAGCAUAAAUUGCAGCAAAAAACAAUGUACCGUUACUCUCUCUCUCUCUCUCUCUCUUAUAUAUAUAUAUAUAUAUAUAUAUAUAUAUGUGUGUGUUAAUAUAAUUUUACUCUUUUUAGUUGGGAUACAUUAGCAACUUACAAAAAAAACAAUCAUGUUUUUUAGUUACCUUUUACUAGGGACACCACAGUAAUUUAUGAUUUAACUUUUAAAAUAUAUCUCCUCUCUCCUCUUGCACUUGUUUCUAUUCCCAGAUUCUUUGUUCUGCUUCUCUUCAUUCUCGCUACCAACUCGUUAUUACCAUAUUUGCUAGUGAUCCCACUCAAUUUUUCUGAUACGGACACGGUGUUUUCUAGAUGGUGCAGGGAAGUUGGACUAGGUUUCUACUUCUAAGAAGUUGGACUAUAUGUUUGCUUCUGAAUGUAUAGUGGUAAUGACUAUUGUUUUCGGUUAGGAUGGUUCAACAUGGGUUGGUGGACAACAUGGUUGAUGUGGAAGGAAGAGUGAAGAGAAAGGAAAAAUAAGAAGGUUGUGGCGGGAAUGUAGUCACCAUUGCUUCUAAUAGUAGAGGAGUAGAAGUUGUUGGUUUGGGUGGGAAUGAUUUGGUAGCUAGGGGUUGACAGCAAAGAUGAAAAGGAAAGUGAAGAGGUAGCAAAAGAUGAAGACUGUGAUGAGAAUGCUUUGACUAUACAUAGAAGUUACUCUACUAAUAGAAGCAAUAGUGACAAAAUCCCGUCACAAUCUUCCUAUUUUUCUUUCUCUUCACUCUUCCUUCCAUCUCUUCCGUGUUGUUGAACAACCCCUAUAGAACCAUCCUCAUUCAAAACAAUAGCACUACCACUGUACUUUCAGAAACAAACAUAUGGUCUUAAACCUUAAUAGCCUAAACAUAAUCCAACUCCUCAAUACAAUCACUUGAAUACACGGUGCUUGUAUAAGCAAAAUUGAGAGAGUUGUUGAUCAAUGUGAUAGUGUUUCCUGAUGGAGAGGAUGAAUAAAAGAAAAGAAAAUAUGGAAAGAGAACUGGUGGAAAAGGAGAGAGAAAUAAUUUUUUAUUUUUAAAAAAUUAAUAUACUAUAUUACUAUUAUAUUUGUAAUAACUAGUAAGAAUUAACUAAAACAAAAUAUUUCACUAAAUUUUUUGUCUAAGCUUUUUUAUUGUUGGUUAUCAAUUUAUUCCAACUAAAAAAAUAAAAGUUUGUUACCAAACACUACAUAUAUACAUAUACAUACGCAGUGAGAAAGAGAGAGGUUGCUCUAACUUCUACGCUAAGCACUAAUUCCAUCACCUUCUUGGACUACCAUCCAUUGGAGAAUAGCGCUCCACUGCUUAUGUGACAUCGGGUAACACUUGUUUAAAAAGUGUGAGCAAUUGAGUGUCAUGACUUUCGUAAGAGUUAUGAUCAUUACAUUUGGGCAUGGGUCAAAAAAUUCCAACAGGUGGGAUCUUUUAUUGAUCCACAUGGGAUCAAUAUUUUUUAUAAAAUAUAUGAUAAUAAACUUCCCUAGAAGGUCACCUAAACGAACCUUGGCCACUCAGUUUAAAAUCAAUAAAUCUCAAUGGUUUUUAUUAGUUUUUCAAGGUGGGAGACAUCAUCUCUUGGUCUCUCACAAUAUCCAAAGUCCUAGAUGUAAAUAUCUUUCUUAACUUUUUAAUAUAUAGAUAUACAAAAAAAUCCUAAUAUUUUAACAAAAUUGUUUGUAAGAAGUAGAUAUCCACAUUAGUCUCACCCAAAUAAUUGAGCAUGAUGACAAAAAUAAAAAACAGAAACAAACAUACACAUAUACGAAAAAAAAGUGAACCAGCUUUCAAACUCAACAAAACCUUGGUUUUUAUUGGGGCCAACACAGCACAUGAGGUUGACGAUGGACUUUGGCAAAGGGACUAUCCAACUCUAUCUAUGAACUCCUCAUCGGAGCAGUACUGCUUAGGAAGGUUUGGGAUAUGCACCACGUUUGACAAAACACUUGACUUCUUUCUCAAUGAAGACAGUUUGUCAUUAUUUAUGAGGGCCAUGAAAGAUUGAUUCAGCAUAGUGUUUGAAAGGAAACAAAAAUGUGAGGCGGAUUCAUCAAAAAGUUUGAGUGUGAUUACUGAUUCUAAAGUGUUGUUAACAGAAAAAUAAAGCAUUUGGAAUGAUAAACUCGACUAAAGGUAAUCAAGUAAGUUAUCCGAUAAUGAAAAAGAAGAUUUAUUUACUUCAUACCAAAGAUAUUACAAUACAUUUUUUUUUUCAUUUUUUGUAUUAUUUUGUAUCACGAUAAUUGAAUGCAUCUAAAUAUUUAAGUUAUAUUACUAUUAUAUUGAUUAUGAAUUCAAAUAGUAUUAUUACAAUUACUAUUACUAUUCUUAAUAUUAUUAUUAACAAUUCUAAAUAAUCAUAGAUUCUUGCAUCCAAUGCAACAAAUCAUCACCCAAUCACAUGCACAAUCAAAUUCCGGCACUCGUUGCCCGAGAAUCACAUUUCUCUUAGCCUCUAAUUAAGAUAAGCAAUAAUAUAAUCCCAAACACAAUCAUCCAAUAAUCAAAGCGAACUACAGAGGUUCCCCUUUUAAGGUAGAACACUGAAUCACAAGUCCAAACAAGCAAAAUAAAACUCACAAAGCAAUUAUAUUAAUUGUCUUUAAAAAACAUUUAUAUUAAUUCAUUUCCUAUAUUACUCAUAUGCUCAUAAUUCUUUUAUAACAUUAUCUAACAUGUCAAAUGAACUCAAACUCAUGAAAAUUUACAGAGAUAUAUACUCCUCAACAUGCAGACUGUAUCACAAAAAUUAUGCACACCAAAAUUCAACAUAAAACGUUUAUUUUAAAUUAAACGCAGUUUAUAGGACAUACUUUGAAUGUGGUUUUGGAAUUUUAAAAAUUUUAAACUUGUGUUUUUUUUUUUAUCAAAGUUCACACAGAGCAUGCUAAACAUGUAAGAUAGUCACAUAUUAUUUUUCCAAAUUUAAUAUUUGAAAAGAACACCUUGUUUAUAAGUAAAUGUCUUUGCUGUCCAAAAAACAGAGUUUCCACGAGAAAACAAAUAAAUACAAAAAACAUUUAAAAACUUUGAGAAAAUAACAAGGCACUAAAAAAGAUCAAACAUGCAUAGUAUAAUUUUUUGAAUUCCUAAAUAUUAAGAAAAUAUUAUUUCCAUAUUUAUUUUCUCAACUGGACAGAAUGUGUGGUUUUUCAGAAAAUAAAUAUUUAAAAAUAUUUCCCAAGCUGAUUAGGGUUAAACGAAAUCAUGUUUAGUUCCCUUCAUUUAUUAAACAAUUUUAUGGUUCCAGUUUUCAAAAUUUGUGCUCCACAAUUUUUAUAGAGAGAAAAACAACGCGCUAGACAAAUACGACAAUUCCAUUAAAAGAAUAUAGUGCUCAAAAAAAAUAAAUGAGUGAGUUUCUUGAGCUUUGAAGGUGAAGAGCAAAGGAAGAAGAUGAGGAUAAUGAAUUUACUUACCCAAAGUUAAGCAAGAAUUGACAUCUAAGUUUCAUAACUCCGAGACCCAACCUCUCCAGCACACAAAUGCCGUGAAAGAAUUCAAUUUCCCUCUCUUCCUCAAAACCAG